Pimephales promelas (fathead minnow) is the source of this 867-nucleotide non-coding RNA. The record is from RefSeq and is a predicted model, not a curated record. NCBI's taxonomy places the organism in Eukaryota, Metazoa, Chordata, Actinopteri, Cypriniformes, Leuciscidae.
AUCCCCGGAUGUGUUCUUGAUCCGCCCCGUUUACCGAGGAUGCAUCGAGAGGUGACUUGUGCGGACUUGAUACGGGCCAUAACCCAGAAUUCAUUUCGCGCAAUGGCGGAAGAGAAAACUCACAACUGUAAGUACUACAUUUCGAUAUAUCUACUUAUUGUUAUAUCAAGAGUUUCAAUGCCAGAAUGUUGUUUAAACUUAAAAGCUACCGUCGAAUUUUAAGGUUAGCAACUAACGUUAUUUGAAAAUAUGCUCAGAAGAUUUCUUAGUUGAAAAAUCCAGACGAUCCUUCGCUGGUGUAAAUAGAGUUAGGUUAACCCUCGGCAAGUCCUCCUAAAAAUAUAACUUAACGUUAUAAAAUAUGCCUGUCUUGUUCCUGUAAGUUAGUGGAUAAACAUUUGAUCUAACGUUACCGUACUUUAGCCUAAUGUUACUUACUUCAAAGGCAAACCUCUAGAUUACUUUUCUCGGUUUGACCAAAUAGUUUGUCUUUUAAUUUUUUAACCAAAUUAUUUUAGAAUUGUAUUAUUUUUCAGUGAAACUUAAAUUAAGGAUUUUUUUUUUCUGAGGAAACUCGGGCCUUGAUUGAGUGGCGGGCGGCCAACAAAAAUCUGUUCACUGUGAGACGCAAUUCCUCCAAAAGUGGAUGGGAGCAUUUCGUUUCCAUUUCUGGUUUGGCCAUAACUGCCAAACAGGCCAAGAAGAAAUGGAACAAUUUGAAAGAUAAAUAUAAGGAGCUUAGGGACCCACCGACAGGAUAAGGGGUAGAGGCCGGUAGUGUGACUGCUGCCACCUGGCAGUGGUACACUGCAAUGGAUGCUGCACUCCAGGGGCAGCACUCUAUUAGUCUGCCCCUGGUUGUUGCAU